GAAUUCAACUCCUACGGGAGGCAGCAGUGGGGAAUUUUGGACAAUGGGCGCAAGCCUGAUCCAGCAAUGCCGCGUGAGUGAAGAAGGCCUUCGGGUUGUAGAGCUCUUUUGUCAGGGAAGAAACGGUGGGAGCUAAUAUCUCCCACUAAUGACGGUACCUGAAGAAUAAGCACCGGCUAACUACGUGCCAGCAGCCGCGGUAAUACGUAGGGUGCAAGCGUUAAUCGGAAUUACUGGGCGUAAAGCGUGCGCAGGCGGUUUUGUAAGUCUGACGUGAAAGCCCCGGGCUCAACCUGGGAAUUGCAUUUGAGACUGCACGGCUAGAGUGUGUCAGAGGGGGGUAGAAUUCCACGUGUAGCAGUGAAAUGCGUAGAUAUGUGGAGGAAUACCGAUGGCGAAGGCAGCCCCCUGGGAUAACACUGACGCUCAUGCACGAAAGCGUGGGGAGCAAACAGGAUUAGAUACCCUAGUAGUCCAGGCGUU
This 483-nucleotide ribosomal RNA is filed under the name uncultured bacterium. RNAcentral describes it as "bacterial SSU rRNA". It matches the Rfam family "Bacterial small subunit ribosomal RNA", at positions 328 to 803 of the family's 1533-position model. The record is from RNAcentral.